UCUUUCAUGGUCUAACGGUCAUGAUUUCCGCUUGUCACCAUACAUGACUAUGCGCGGGAGAUCGGGGUUCGACUCCCCGUGAGAGAG
Molecule: non-coding RNA, 87 nt
Organism: Oidiodendron maius Zn
Lineage: Eukaryota; Fungi; Ascomycota; Leotiomycetes; Myxotrichaceae
Source: the annotation of a GenBank genome assembly